UUUUAAUUGGAAACUCGUAUGAAGGGUUGGACAAAGGAUAAUCUGUUUUUAUUUUUAUUUUUGAAUUUAUCUUUUAAGUGAAAAGACUUGAAUAUAUUUAAGGGACGAUAAGACCCUAUAAAUCUUUAUAUUUAAUUUAAUGUUUAUAUUGAUUUUUAAUGUAAAUAUAAAAUAAAGAUUAAUAAUGUUAUGUUGGGGUGACAAGAAUAAAAAAUAAACUGUUCUAAAAAUAAACAAAGUUAUUUGAUUAAUAGUAGAUCCUUUUUAAAGAUAUAAGUUUAAGUUACUUUAGGGAUAACAGCGUUAUUUCUUUUGAGAGUUCAAAUCGAAAAAGAAGUUUGCGACCUCGAUGUUGAAUUAAAAUUUCUUUAUAGUGCAGCAGUUAUAUAAGAAAGUCUGUUCGACUUUUAAAAUUUUACGUGAUCU
RNAcentral lists this ribosomal RNA (426 nucleotides) under Galathea acis. Its description in RNAcentral is "partial 16S ribosomal RNA". The stretch from base 294 to 426 matches the Rfam family "Bacterial large subunit ribosomal RNA", at positions 2473 to 2606 of the family's 2925-position model. The record is from RNAcentral. RNAcentral also lists the same sequence under 2 other names. Lineage: Eukaryota; Metazoa; Arthropoda; Malacostraca; Decapoda; Galatheidae.